Molecule: unclassified non-coding RNA, 454 nt
Filed under: plant metagenome
Description: partial contains small subunit ribosomal RNA and internal transcribed spacer 1
Source: RNAcentral
AAGUCGUAACAAGGUUUCCGUAGGUGAACGGUUUGCCUGCUGGAUGUCUUGGCAGCGACUAUAAAAAUGCAUUAGUCGCCCCCUAUGGGGCAGGCAACGCUAUUAGUCUGCGCUGGGAACCCCCGAACAAGGGGGCCAACCGGCAGCUCCGCGAGUACUCCGGAGUUCACAGAUCAAACGAUAGUGGCCGCGUUGACGGUUGAGAUAUGAUCGGCCCUGGCUGUUAUCAGCUAGGGGGUUUGCGGAACCUGCGGAAGGAUCAUUACUGAGAGAGGGGGCUUCGCGCUCCCGGGGGUCUCGGCCCCCAACUCUUCACCCAUUGUGUACACUACCUUUGUUGCUUUGGCGGGCCCCCGAGGACUUCUCGCGCUGCCUACAGGGCGGCGAGCGCCCGCCAGAGGCCCAUCAAAAUCUGUUUAUCAAUGGUGUCCGGGCGAAAACACAAUAAUCAAAC